GAUGAACGCUGGCGGCGUGCCUAAUACAUGCAAGUCGAGCGAACAGACGAGGAGCUUGCUCCUCUGACGUUAGCGGCGGACGGGUGAGUAACACGUGGAUAACCUACCUAUAAGACUGGGAUAACUUCGGGAAACCGGAGCUAAUACCGGAUAAUAUAUUGAACCGCAUGGUUCAAUAGUGAAAGACGGUUUUGCUGUCACUUAUAGAUGGAUCCGCGCCGCAUUAGCUAGUUGGUAAGGUAACGGCUUACCAAGGCAACGAUGCGUAGCCGACCUGAGAGGGUGAUCGGCCACACUGGAACUGCGACACGGUCCAGACUCCUACGGGAGGCAGCAGUAGGGAAUCUUCCGCAAUGGGCGAAAGCUUGACGGAGCAACGCCGCGUGAGUGAUGAAGGUCUUCGGAUCGUAAACCUCUGUUAUUAGGGAAGAACAAAUGUGUAAGUAACUAUGCACGUCUUGACGGUACCUAAUCAGAAAGCCACGGCUAACUACGUG
This 497-nucleotide ribosomal RNA is filed under the name uncultured bacterium. Its description in RNAcentral is "partial 16S ribosomal RNA". It matches the Rfam family "Bacterial small subunit ribosomal RNA", at positions 28 to 507 of the family's 1533-position model. The record is from RNAcentral.